GGCGCUGGCCAAUCGCGAGUGGCGUGCUCGGCUGGUUCCGCCCCACUUCCUGUUUGCCCGUGAAGGCGGGAAGAGCCGGUCGGGCUGCGGAGCCGGUUGUAGCCGCCCUCUGCCGACGGGCGCGUGCCCUAGCCGCGCUACGCUGCGCGCCCUAGUGUCACUGGACGCCUGCGUCCUUAUUGAAGUGGGAAAUGAAGUCUAGGAACCCCUUCCUUAACCGAGUCAUGGAAACCUCUGGCCCGCGACAUGGGAGACACCCGGGAUCCUGACUUGGUUCCGAAGUCGUAGCUUCCGUGGGCUCGCGCUUAGAGUGGCGGUGCCUUCGUAAAGGCCUGUCACUCAAGCCCUCGUCCAUCACUUCUUUUUGGCCAGUCUUGUGGCCUGGAGGCAGCAGGCGAGGAAAGCGGGUGGUGGGAAGACCUCUGAGAAGACGUGGUUCUCGCCCCGGGGUUGAAUGAGUGUUUCAGGCUGUGGCUGCUUGUGAGGAUAAUGACUGUAACUUACCUCGUCCCUAUGCAGUGUGAGGCUGAAAGUGAGGAAAAAAAAAAUUUGAGAAAUCUACAAAUCUUAGGGUUACUAUAAAUUCACUCAUCUGUGAAAACUGUCUCAUUCUGAUUAAAGCUGAAGGUCACUACACAUGUAUUUUCAGAUUAGAUAAAGCAAAAGUGGGUAUAUUUUAAGGCACAUCCCACAUGUUAUCUAAAUAAGAGACAAUAUCAAACUGAAGAUCCCAGGAGAAGACAAGACUACCAUGAACAUCUUGCAAUCCAUGAUCAAAGUACUGAAUUCACCAGACUGAAGUCAUUUCCAUAUACCUUCCCAUGCCUACUCCUACAAAGUUUCCUGUAAAAGAAGAGACCGGGAUCCCCAAAGCACUUCUUGCUCUUGAGAGAGUCUGCACUGUGCUCUAAGAAUGUGUGUCUUUCCUUUUGCCUUUCAAAUAAAGCUCUUCUUUACUAAAA
Ictidomys tridecemlineatus (thirteen-lined ground squirrel) is the source of this 962-nucleotide non-coding RNA. The record is from RefSeq and is a predicted model, not a curated record. NCBI's taxonomy places the organism in Eukaryota, Metazoa, Chordata, Mammalia, Rodentia, Sciuridae.